Molecule: transfer RNA, 73 nt
Filed under: Heterocephalus glaber (naked mole-rat)
Lineage: Eukaryota; Metazoa; Chordata; Mammalia; Rodentia; Bathyergidae
Rfam family: tRNA
About the family: Transfer RNA (tRNA) molecules are approximately 80 nucleotides in length. Their secondary structure includes four short double-helical elements and three loops (D, anti-codon, and T loops).
Source: Rfam by way of RNAcentral
UGGGAUGUAGCUCUAAGGUAGAGCACCUUUCCUACUAUGUGUGAGGCCCUGGGUUCAACCCCCAGCACCACAA